AUGCUCCUCUUCGCUCCCACCCCGCCGCCGUCGCCGGCCACCGCUCACCGGCGACCGGGUGGCAGCGCUGCCUCGUGCAUCCGCUGCUCGAGCGUGCGCGAGCUUGAUAGGUCCCCGAGCCGCCCGCCGCUACCGCCGCUGGCGGAGGCGAAGCGGGUGGUGCUGGUGCGGCACGGGCAGAGCACCUGGAACGCGGAUGGACGCAUCCAGGGGAGCUCCGACUUCUCCGUGCUCACGCCCAAGGGGGAGUCCCAAGCGGAGACCUCCCGCCUCAUGCUCCUCGCCGACUCCUUCGACGCCUGCUUCACCAGCCCGCUCGCCCGGUCCCGCCGCACCGCGGAGAUCAUCUGGGACAGCCGCGAUAAGGACCUCAUCCCGGACUACGACCUCCGCGAGAUCGACCUCUAUUCCUUCCAGGGGCUCUUGAAGCAUGAAGGGAAGGAGAAGUACGGGGCUCUGUUCCAGCAGUGGCAGAAGAAUCCAUCAGACUGCAGCAUCGAUGGGCACUACCCAGUGCGGGAGCUCUGGGACCGAGCGCAGGGCUGCUGGGAGAGGAUCCUGACACACGAGGGCAAGUCAGUUCUUGUGGUUGCCCACAAUGCAGUUAACCAAGCGCUCGUUGCCACAUCCUUGGGACUUGGCACCGAGUACUUUCGGACUCUGCUCCAAAGCAACUGUGGCGCUAGUGUGCUGGAUUUCACCCCACAGCCCGGCGGACGCCCUCCAAGUGUGUGCCUUAACCGCUUAAAUCAGACCCCGAACUCUCCUAUUUCUGCCGAAAGUUCUGCAGGUAGAAAGUCGAGCAAGCGGAUCAUUCUAGUUUGUCAAGGGGCUACACAGAGCAGUUCUGAGGGUAGUUUAGGCGGAGUGGGUUAUGCACCGCUGAACAUGCUGGGUGUUAUACAGGCUCAGAAGACCGCGGAACUACUUCUAGAUCUGAAGGUGAACAGUAUUAUCUGUAGCCCACAAGUCGCAGCUGUUGAUACUGCAACUGCCAUAUGUGAGGUCCAAGAGGCUGCUGAUUGCUUAGGUGCUGACUGUGUGCCUCGUUACGUUGAAAUGAAGAAUUUGUUCGGACUCGAAAUUGAUGAUGCCUUUCUAACAAAGCAAAAGAGCCUUGAACAGAUAGUUCAGUCUGGUUGGAUGGGCGGCAUGGAACACCAAAAGCUUAAGACAUUGUGGGCUCAGUCCGAGGAUGCAUGGCAAGCUUUGGUAAACGAAUUGCCAGAUGAUGAUGGCGCUGAUUCAGACCGAGUCGUUGUCGCUAUCGGCCAUCCUGCCAUCCACCUGGCACUGCUCUGCAGGUGUCUGGACCUAACAAUGGAUUACAUGCCGUCUUUCCAUCUGGACGACGGCAGCAUCAGCGUGAUCGAUUUCCCGGAUGGGCCGAAAGGAGGAGGCAUCGUCAGAUGCACCAAUUACACGGCCCAUUUGGGCAGAUGGUCGGUACCCAUCACAAAAUCAACAGAAAACAAUGAUGAAUUCUGA
RNAcentral lists this ribosomal RNA (1488 nucleotides) under Triticum aestivum (bread wheat). RNAcentral describes it as "partial small subunit ribosomal RNA". Lineage: Eukaryota; Viridiplantae; Streptophyta; Magnoliopsida; Poales; Poaceae. The record is from RNAcentral.